AUACGUAGGGUGCAAGCGUUGUCCGGAAUUACUGGGUGUAAAGGGUGCGCAGGCGGAUCUGCUUGUCGGAGGUUAAAGACCUCGGCUUAACCGAGGGGGUGCCUUCGAAACGGCAGAUCUUGAAUAUGAGAGAGGAUGAUAGAAUUCCUGGUGUAGCGGUGAAAUGCGUAGAUAUCAGGAGGAAUACCAGUGGCGAAGGCGGUCAUCUGGCUCAUCAUUGACGCUCAGGCACGAAAGCGUGGGUAGCGAACAGGAUUAGAUACCCUGGUAGUCCACGCCCUAAACGAUGUAUGCUUGGUGUUGGGAGUUUACUUCCAGUGCUGAAGGUAACCCGAUAAGCAUACCACCUGGGGAGUACGAUCGCAAGGUUGAA
Molecule: ribosomal RNA, 373 nt
Filed under: uncultured bacterium
Lineage: Bacteria
Description: bacterial SSU rRNA
Rfam family: Bacterial small subunit ribosomal RNA
Source: RNAcentral